AUACGUAGGUGGCAAGCGUUAUCCGGAUUUACUGGGUGUAAAGGGCGUGUAGGCGGGACUGUCAAGUCAGAUGUGAAACCCAUGGGCUCAACCCAUGGCCUGCAUUUGAAACUGUGGUUCUUGAGUGUCGGAGAGGUAAUCGGAAUUCCGUGUGUAGCGGUGAAAUGCGUAGAUAUUAGGAGGAACACCAGUGGCGAAGGCGGCUUUCUGGACUGAUACUGACACUGAGGCACGAAAGCGUGGGGAGC
Molecule: ribosomal RNA, 248 nt
Filed under: uncultured bacterium
Lineage: Bacteria
Description: partial 16S ribosomal RNA
Rfam family: Bacterial small subunit ribosomal RNA
Source: RNAcentral